This 2353-nucleotide long non-coding RNA is filed under the name Canis lupus familiaris (dog). RNAcentral's name for it is "lncRNA (ENSCAFG00030009579.1)". The record is from RNAcentral. Lineage: Eukaryota; Metazoa; Chordata; Mammalia; Carnivora; Canidae.
AUGAAGACAGAGGUCUCCAGCCAGGUGACAGGGAAGCAGGCAGAGCAGAGGAAGAGGGCCAGGAGCUCCUCUACGGGUCUGCGUUGGAGGCUUUCAUGUAGACUUACCUGCCAGACUGGGAGCUCCCUGAAGACCAGGGGCUGUGCCAUCAGGCUGGGAAUUCAAUCAAUUCUUGUCAGAGCUAAGAUGGUGAGGGGAUUUGGAAGCAGGGGUGUGAGGACUACAGCUGUGUGCUGGUCACUGGAGAAGACAGGGUGGAGUUGGACAGGACGGAUGCCCCCAAAUCCACUCCUUCUCAGUGUUGCCCCCAAGAAGAAGGCUAGAAUUAAGGGGAGAUGACACAGGAGACUGGACUUUGGCUCCAGAAGAGAAUGAACUCUCUAAGAGCAUGGAUGGGCAAGAGGUAUGAAAGCCACCCCACUCCCCCCCAUGAAAGGCCAAACAUCUGAGGAGGGGUCUGAAGCUCCAGGUGGCAGCUGGACCCAGUACCUUUAAGGUCCUCUCCAAAUCCAAGGGUCAGCCAGUGACAGUGGAUAUCCUAGUCUCAUCCACCCCCACACCUAGGGCAGCUCCUCCUAAUAACUCCAAGGAUGGGUCAGAGGCAAUGGACAGGAGGACACAGGGACCCGGCCCCAGCCAACCAGGCCACUGAAUCAGUCAGGCAAAGAGAGACUGCAGGGAAGCAUGAACACCGUGGUGGCUGCUGCAGGGCUGGAAGAUGGCCCUUGGUCUGCAGCUGCACAGCCAAAUAAAUAGGAAAAUGAACUUGCCUUGCCAGCCAGGAUAGUACACCAUCCUCACUCCUGCAGAGGAGUGAUACCUCCAGUCACCUAGCACGCUGCAGGGCACCUGCUCGUUCUUCACAAGCGAACCUGGGCCAGAGCCAGGGAGUCACUUGCCCAAAAGUCCCAGGCUACUGGCUCCGACUUGCAAGGGGCGGGGGCAGGGCACAGCCCUGGGGCUCCUUACUCACAAGCGGGUGCUCUGUCUCCCACUCUUGGCUGCCCCCACAGUGCCAUAUGCUCCUGCAGCAGCUGGGAUUCCUUUUGAAAAAUAUGUUCAUCUCAGGCAAGUCCCAAAGUGGACAGAGAUGAUAUAUAUGUUCUUUGCUGGCCCAGGAAGAGCAGGUAGGGGGAGCUCCUGACAUUUCUGGGAUUCCAAGGGAAGGAAACAUGUUACACUGUCUCAUUUCCUCCCCCAGCCCUGUUCUCUCCCAAGCAGGUGGGAAGCAUGGAAAAUUUUUUGUGUCUCUCACUUCCUUCCUAGAGCCCCUUCACAUCUAGUUCCUCCAGGCUGCUGAUGGCUGAUAAACUCCUCCACUAGGAGAUAAUAGAGAUUCAAAGUGUUGCCCCUCCCGGGAGAAUUUACAUAUUAAGUCAGGCUCUGCUUGAGGAGAAGGCUUAAUCUAGGGUCCAGAAGCUGGACAUCACGGACUUUCAGGAUGACAGGGAGAGAUGGGGAGUGGGAAUCAAAGAUGCUUUCUGGGGGGUCCUUAGCUCCUCCCUGAAUGGGGCAAGAAGGCUGAGGUGGAGGUGGGGGCAUUAUCUGGGAGGGGAGGCACAUAACAAGGAGCCUGGACACAUCACUGAGGGUUGGGGGCUGCCCUCUCCACCGGGCACUGAUGGCAGGGCUGUCCCCAGCCAGGUAUAUCCUGCAGAGAUCAAUCACCUCUCCCUAUUUGUUGCUAAAUCCCAGAGAACAGAAACUAAGAUGUUCAACACUAAUCCACACCUGAACCAACCAACCACCACGACCCACUACGGACCAUCCUCCUUCACCCCUCCGCAAAACACACCCUCAUCUCACUGACUUGGGCCCCCUCUUGAAGCUCAUUAAUCAUACACGGCAUGCCGGAGGCUGGAUGCAGCGACUUCUGGGGGUCCCCGCUGGAGGUUUCUAGCUCCAUCAAUCCCAGGGCAGUGGAACUGGGACUCCUAGGGAUACUGGCCAAAGGGAGCUUGUUCAGGGGCACCAGAGCAGAGCCGGAGCAGGGCCCGCGGCCCCUGAUCCCUCCCCCACCCCUCCUCCCAGACCCAGGCCAAUUUCCCCUGAAGUGUGCUCACGCUGCGCCCUUCGAGCCUCAGCGCCAAUUGACUGGAUUUCAAUCAGAAAUCCAUCUCCCUUAAGGACCGCUUUGGAUAAAAGCAGAAGUAACCUGCAAUCUAGAUGCUGAUGCCAAGUCAUAAUGGGGGAGCCGGAGAGAGGCCAGCUGCCCAACUCCGGUCCCCAGCCCCCAGCGAGGAUGGAGCCAGGCUUCCGCUGCGGCCGACUCCGCUUCCACGGACCUAGAGAAAGGGAGUAGCUCCGUCUCCCUCCAUCUCUGCCACCCGCCGAGGCGCGCCGAGCGGCCGGG